GGGAUAACUAUUGGAAACGAUAGCUAAUACCGCAUAAGAGUAGAUGUUGUAUGACAUUUGCUUAAAAGGUGCAAUUGCAUCACUACCAGAUGGACCUGCGUUGUAUUAGCUAGUUGGUGAGGUAACGGCUCACCAAGGCGACGAUACAUAGCCGACCUGAGAGGGUGAUCGGCCACACUGGGACUGAGACACGGCCCAG
RNAcentral lists this ribosomal RNA (199 nucleotides) under uncultured Streptococcaceae bacterium. RNAcentral's name for it is "partial 16S ribosomal RNA". It matches the Rfam family "Bacterial small subunit ribosomal RNA", at positions 140 to 334 of the family's 1533-position model. Lineage: Bacteria; Bacillati; Bacillota; Bacilli; Lactobacillales; Streptococcaceae. The record is from RNAcentral.